ACCGCCGGUGGAGGCUUCCCCAUUCGGGUUACAACGACUUAGACAUGUGGUUCUCGCAGUACCAUUGAACCUGGACCUCCCUUCACACAGCCCCUCAAUCGUGGGAAACUGAGGCGAACAGAGCUUCUAAACCCACCUCAGAAGUAUAAAUCAAUUUUCAGGACGUAUGUGAAAAGCGCAAUCUUCAGGAAGUUUCUCAAGAUAGAACACAGCUUGGAUAGAAUGUCUUGAAAUAUAUGCAAUUUUCCAAUUUCAUAUGUAAAAUGAUAUACAUAAUAUAAAAUCUAGCGGUGUUAAUUAUAAUGAUAUGUAAUUAUAUAUUUCACAUUAAUAUAUUUUAUGCCCAUGGCUAUAUUGAUUUGGGAAUAUAUAUGGAUACUAAUUAUGUUAGGAUUCAUACAAUUCCUUGAGAGGCACAAGUGCUAAAAAUUACUUGUAUGAAUUAUUUAAUAUCAUUGCAAAUAAGAUGUUAUUUUAACUUUUUUUAAGUUUCUGCAAAUAUGUUUAUUAUGACUUUUUAUUUUUAUAUGAUUGGAAAUACAUAUACUAAAAUUCCACGUUACCAGUUUCUUAACCACAGAAACCUGAAAAAUUGCCAUAGUUGAUUUGUUACUUCUACCUUGGUGCAUUUACAAAAUAGUCAUAUUUUUAUUAUGAAGUUAAAUAUUCAUUUGUUUAUAGCUACUUCAGAAGGCUCAGGUUAUUUUUUUCUUUAAUAGCACAGAGUCCUCUCAAGGUAAGCACUGUGCAGUUAGUAUAAACCAUUAUUCCCCAUGUGUACAUGAUUCACAGUUUGUAUUGUGUUCCAAGUGAACCAUAGCCCUUUCAGAAAUCAAGACUUAUAUUCAUUUUACUUCUUUGAGUACUCUUGAAUUUUAGAAAGUCCAUUAUGAUCCUAAGGUAGCAACAACAUAGCCUAUUACCGUCUAUGAUGGUUUACAGAUCUAUUAUUCCACGUUAGUUCAUCACUAUCAACUACCAUGAUAGAGUUAAGCUAAACCAUUUUCCCAACAUAUGAAAAACUCCUAUUACUAAAGUGAUACAAAUGGUAUCAAAAAUACUUUUUUAUAGCAAGGUUCAACAGUGGGCCCAGUGCUUUUACACUUUUUCAAAAGUCCUUGGAGAAACAGAGAAAAUCUCACUUGCCUUCUGUACUAAAACAUUCUAGGCCGAACUAAAACUGAAACUUCAUAGUAGAACACUGUAGGCCAGGGGUGUUCAAUCUUUUACCUUCCCUGGGCCACAUAGGAAGAAGAAGAAUUGUCUUGGGACACACAUUAAAUACACUAACACUAACAAUAGCUGAUGAGCUUAAAAAAAAAAAAAAACUCAUGAUACUUUAAGAAAGUGUAUGAAUUUGUGUUGGGCAGCAUUCAAAACCAUCCUGGGCUGCAUGUGACCCUCGGGCCCACAGGUUGGACAAGCUUGCCCUAGCUCCUCCAUCUGCUGCAAAGCCCAGCCUGAUACAAAAACCAACGUGAUAAAAAGUUUUUGUGGUGCUUUAUUUUGGCAGUUUAAGUUAUAUAAACAAUGGGUACAGUUUCAUUUUCUAAAUAUAAAAUUUUUACAUUGAAUAUGAAUUUUUAAGACAAAUUAUCUGAAUUCUGAUUCUCAUAUACCUAACUACUAAUAUCUUCUCUAUUUGUUGCCCAAUGAGAUUAAUCCACCUCUUAAACACUUCACCAUCAAGAAAAACAAUUUUGUAUUUUAAAAUGAACCCAUCCACUUUCAUUCAGCUAUUUUAUAUUCAGGCAUCAUCCUAAGGAAAGAAAGGUUCUGACAAAGAUUAAUACAGAUGGAUAAGUAGUAGCAAGAAAUCAAAAACUGCAUAAAAUUCUAGCAAUAAAGUGUUAAAUUAUGGUACAGUUACAUUCUGGAUCAUCAGGUAUCUGAAGAAUAUUUCAUAGACUGUUAAAUGAUUGCAUUAUAAAGUCAGGUUUUUUUAAAGCAAGAUUCCAAACAGUAAACAGUUUCUCUCUCUCUCUCUCUCUCUCUCUCUCUCUCUCUCUCUCACCAAAUUAGUUAUAAUGGUUUCCGCAGGAUGAGAGGGGUUGGGAAAAAGUUUGGUGAUAUUUAUUUUCUUCGUUUCACUUUUGAGUUUUCCAAAGUGCUAUGACCAUCAUCAGUAAAAUAUACAUUUCCAAAGCCUUUGACACACGGUAACAGUCCUACACAGUGGAUGAACUAAGAGCUUCUCUACCCUUAGAUGGGUAGGGAGGGAGGAAAGACAAGGAAACUGAGUUGUUUAAGUGUCAUACACGAGAACGUGGCUUUAAGGUCUGGGAAAACCUGCGAGGGCUGUGACGUCAGACUGUGAAAUGCACGCUAUGUCCAUUCACCAAGACGUUCCAUUUUAAAACCCAUAAAUCCGUAGCUAUACCUGUUUCCAAGGUGCCUCGUGUUAGGCCUCUGGUCACAGCACUUGGCGCCCUUCUUGGGAUCUCUUCUCUCCGCCCCCACUACCCCACCCCACAAGCACACUCUAGUCCCCUCCAAUCAAUUUCAGGCAGGUCUCGCCGCCUCCGGAGCCACGCUGGGGGUGCAAGGGCCCUGGACCCGAAAGAGCGCCCGCCCGGCGACAAGAGAUGAGAUGCACGCUGCUCCUCCACUCCUCAGCCCCCACCAUCCUCCUCCUGGAUCCUAACUUCCCCACUCUCUCAAUUCCUAGAGACGCUGCGGAUCCCAGAGGCUUAACUGGCAGCUGGAACGAGGUCCUCCAACAAGAAUUUAGACGCUAGGUCCAAUUAUCACUCCACCGCGCGCACUUUCCGCAGGAGCGAUGUGAUCCGUUAUCAUAACUGCGGACCUGGGGUUCCACGUGGAAGACGAUUGGGAUUUCACUGGCCGCGGUGGGGGUGGGAGCAGACAGAGUCUGAGUGGGGUUAGUGGACUCGAGACGAAAGGCAGGACAUGACAGAAGGCAACUCUGGGUCACCUCUCCAGCUUGGAACUGGCUAGGCCUUGUUUUGGAGGGGAUGGGUAGAUGAAAAGUGAGUCAGGGUUACCCGGAGGAACCACGGGGAAAGUGCGCUUCUGAGACUCUUGACAGCCAUUUCGUUCCCUUCCAAGCCAGAUGGAGACCCAAGAGUGUUGAAAGGCCACGACUUCCCUCAGUUUCUCCAUCUGGGGGUGCAGGAUGGUAUAGAGAGUGGCCCGUAGUAUUUUUCCAGUGACGAUGUCUCUCCAUUGUUUUCUUCUUAUAUUGCAGCUUUCCCCAUGUUUGAAAAUUUUCUUUUCAAAUGAAAUCAUUGAUUAGAAUAAAAAAAAGUAAGUAGCUAUUAAAACAAGAUCAAUUUCCAUGACAGUAAGCCAACCGAUGGAGAAAACCUUGGGAAUUAAUAAAUGAAGGAUUUGUUUGGUAGAUGAUAAAAGGUCCUUUUAAAGGGUCUGACUCUUCCUAGAAAAACCCACCAACUUGGGACCGCAACAGAUUUACCAUAUCCUAAUUCAUGCUAUUUUAAUGUGUAUUCAGCAAACCCACAUGUGUUUACAAUUGUCGAAGCUACCAAAUGUCAAUAGCGUUUUUUUUCUAUUUGUUGAAUGUGAAUCUCUUGUACGAAGCCAUAUAAACAGAAGAAAUUACAGGAAUGAUUUUAAAUCACAUACAAAACCAAUAGUAUUGCUAGAGGAGAGUUAGUCAAGGACGGCAUUAUGAAGAAAGUGAGGGAGAAUUUCCAAAGAGCAGAACGAUAGGGCUUGGUGGACCAAAGAACGUUUCCAUCUAAAGGGAAUGGCAAAUACUUAGAGUCUCUGAACCCACUGAAUCUUGGACUAUUUAACUAAUAUUUGUAGUUCCAGAUAUAGCACAGUGCCUUGUACAUAGUGGUAUUUUUAAAAAUAUAGUGCCUCGUAGAUUUUUUUUCAACUUUUAUUUAGGAGGAGAGGGCACAUGUGCAGGUUAAUUACAAAGGUAUAUUGCACCAUGCUGAGGUUUCGAGUACGACUGAAUCUGUCACUCAAGUAGUGAGCACAGUACCCACAGUAGGUAGUAUUUCAGCCCUCGCUCAUUCCCUUUCUCCUCCAUCUAGUAGUCCCCAAUGUCUAUUGUUCUCAUAUUUAUGUCCAAUUAGCAUUUGUUUUUUAAAAAGGGUGGUUGAAGAAAUUCUCAGUGCUUGUCAGUGUCUCUCAGUGCAUUCAUUUAAUUCAUGAGCCCUGGAAUGAUGGUUUCAUUUGGGCAGAACUCUACAAUCAAAAAGAAGUAAUAAAAGGGAAAAAAAAGUGAAAGCCAUCAACUACAGGAUUGAAAUUCCCAAAGCAUCAGAGGUCCUUUCAAAAAAUAGUAUGUUGAUUUUUAAUUUUUAUGACUUAUUGGCUUUGUUCAUGAAAAUAUAAACAUGUUAUCACAAAGGAUUUUUUAAUUCAACUAUUUCUCAGUUUUCUCUUUCACCUUCAAAAUAAAAUAUCAUAAAUUAUUUAAAUGGUUGUGAAGGCAGUAGGAUUUUUUUAAGAGAGAAAAGUUUUAUAGAGGUUCAGAAUUACAUGAACAAAGACAUGUAAUCUCUUAAGCAAAUUGAAACUAAUAAAAUCGUACAAUCAAGGUAACGUAAAUAAAAAAGCCUCUGCUUUCUUAAUUGAAUUAUGUGAGUAACUAGAAAUUUUAAAAGUAUGGCAAAGGUUAACAACAGCAUUAUUACCUGGGCUGCCUUUAAAAAUACAUAUUUCUGGGGUUCACGUUCAGAAAAUUUGAUUCAGAUUUGCUGUGGGUCCCAGAAAUCUGCAUUUUAAAUAAACACUUGAAGGAGAUACUAAUACAAGUGGCCCAUUGGGACACAAUUUGACAAAUAUGACCAAUUUUACUUUUUAAACCUUAUUUCUGCUUCUUUAUCUUUGAAUUGAGGUCCAGGAUUUUAGGUAAGAUUUUAAGUUUAGAGUCAGUUUACUGGAUCCCAGGGAGGAGAGUCUGAGUAAUCAGUGGAGGAGUUAUUUCACCAAAUGAAGGAGACCCUUUAUUAUUAUGUGACCCUUUGUAUGAAUUGGAAAAGAAUGUCUUGUAGAUACCACAUUUUUACAGUCAGAACAUAGUUUGAGAGAAAAAAAUAUAACAAGAUAUAUUUGUGUUUUAAAGCUUACAGAACCAGACAGAAAAUUUCCACAUAAGCUAUAUAAGAUACGUUGUCUUUUUAAAACACUAUAUACACUUCUUUCUGUUCGUGCAGGAUGAAUGGAUCUCUCUCUCUCUCUCUCUCUCUCUGUGUGUGUGUGUGUGUGUGUGUGUGUGUGUGUGUGUUGUAAUAAGGGGUUUCUUUCAUUUUAUGAUCCAGACCAGGCUCGUAAUAAACAUGACAACCUAAAAUUAUGUAAAAAAGAAAAAUCAAAGCACAAGUGUUUCACAGGUUUAACUUAUGCUUAUCUAAGAUCAGGGCAAGAUUGCAGGAAAAUGUAGCCAUAACAGAAUAAAGCAUUUAUGGACAAAAUGAUGGGUCUUUAUGUCUCUGUAAAAGCACAGUGAUGGGGGGGGAAAUAUAGAUGAAAAAUGUAAGCUAAAAAGUAACAAUUAUAAGAAAAACUAAAAUAUCAUGCCUUUCAAAUGAUCAUUUUUCUGCUUUUAAGCUAAAAUUUGUCUAAUAUUACACCAGUGACUUUGCUGAUGUAUUAGGAAAAAGCUUGUUUUGCUUUCUUUUCUCGAGUGCCACCAUUUUCUUGCUCUCAUUCUCUUUCAGGCUGCCAGAUCAUCUGACUCAGCAAUUGUAUAACUCUCUCACCCAAUUUAAAGAAACAGCAGCUGUCUAGAGAACAAUGACUCCCCCAGUUGAACAUCUAAUUGUUAAAUGUCCAACAUCGGACACUUUGAAUUUUACUCCAUGCAAUUUACAUGCUGAAUAGUUGAAGUUGAAUAUAUUAUAUUUAACAUUUAAUUUUUAAAAGCUUAUUGAAACUUUCUUCCUAAAUCACAUGGUAAAGUUAUUGUUUUCUUCAAAAACAAUUAGGAGGAGCUUAACAAUAAUAGGACACUUCAACUUCCAUUAUCUAAUUUAAUUAUCACAAUAUCCUUAUGUUUUCAAUGUUUCAUUUUUUCAUUUUGUAGAUCUGGAGACUGAGGCUCAGAUAGGUUGCAUGGCCUACCAAAAGUCAUUGACUAGUAAUUCAUAUAUAGUUGAACUUGGUUGCCCAUGGAGUGCUAUAAAUAUGUAUAUGGUUUCAGUUCCAUCUCUUUUAGUUAACUAUUAUUUUGAAAGUCGCUUAACCCCUUUGGGCCUCUACUAUACUCAAGCAUCAGCCGUAUAAGUCACAGUAAAUAUUUAUUGGUUGAAAGGAGGUUAACAUCUUUCAAAAAUUUAUUUUUUGACCAAAAUAAAACCAGUGAAAAAUUCUCAUAUGACUGUACAUAUAAAUUACUUAUUCCUACCUUAAUUUAAAAGCAAUAAGUGGGAUACCUAUUCACCAGCACAGGAACCACUUGAAGCGUGCAGUUGAAAGAUUACUUUCUUUAGCAUUCACAUGACCUGUGAGCAGAUUCUAUUUCUUUUGCUUAUUAGCUGUCAUGGUACCAGAAUGAAGUAUGAGAAACUCUCAGUGCUUUCAUGUUCUCAUCUGUAAACCUGAGACCCUAUGGUAGUCCCGUAAUAAGAGGUAGAUAAAAUAGUAUGUGUGAAGAGUCACUGUAAACUUUUACACAGUGUACGUUUGUCAGUUAUUAUAGUGCCUAAUUAAACUAUGCCCUUAAGAAAGCACAUUAGUUUUUUACAGUAAAUACCUACUUCAUUAUAAUUUUUCAGUGUAGCUAGAAAUUUCUAAACUCCACUUUAAAAAUAUACAUAUCAUAAUAAAAAUAUAUUUAUGUAUUCAGACUCCUGGUAUGUUCCAAGGUGUUAGGUAAAAUCAGUGUAAAUUUGCAUACUUUUAAAUUCACAUCUGUACAGAAGAUCUAUAUGGUGGCCUUUAGGGUAUACCUCUAAGCUAUUCUAGUAUUCAUAAUCAUUAAAGAGAUAUUAAGCAGUGUUUGUGAACCCCUGUUUUCUAAGACAGGAAAUCAAGGUAGCUUUAGAAAACUGGAAAAAAAGUUAUUAGUCUAUCUAUCUAAUAACCCAGAAUAAUAAUUUCCAAAGGAAUCACUGAAGAUAACUGGAUUUUUAAUUCCUUCAGAAUGGUUGUCACAGUCUGAAUAUCUGAAUCAACAGUUUUGACCAAAACAAUUUUCUAAAAAUUCUUUAGUAUAAAAAAUUAUGUGUGUGUGUGUCUGUGUGAUGAAAGGAAUGAUAGGCAGAAACAUUACUGUCAUCCUUACGACAUUCAAAAUGCCUACCUUGGAGGGUGACCUUCAGUUAUUUUUAUGCAAAUGUGAAGAAGUUAUUUAGAAGUAGGAUAUCAAAGAGUAACACAAAAUACACUAAAUAGUAUGCUUUCUUAAGGCUAAAUUGACUUGGGGGUUUUAAAUCAGUACAGAGUAAACAUACAGUAUAUUCUGUUAUCAUUGCCUUUUUGAAAAAUUAAUUAUGGAAGUUAUCAUCUUAACCGUAACAACACAAAAGAUAAAACUCUACCCUCAACCCAGAGACUCAAAGGAAAACAUGAGUGGAAAUGUUAAAUCUGUAUGUGAAAAGUGCUAAAACAUGAAUAGGAAGCAGUUACUUAUUUAAUCAAAGUUGAUUAUAUUUCAUCAAGAAGUUGAUUCCCUUGAGUGGAGUUGAAUCACAUAUCAGGUGAAGAAUGUGAUUUGGGGAAGAAUGGUCUAACACAAGAAAAUUUUCUUGCAAUCUUUAAUAAUAUCAGAGGGGAGAUUGGCUUCAGAACUCUCCUAAGUUCAGGAAAGGACACAGAAAAUUGAACAUAACAGUAAGACUAUAGAGUCCCAAGAAAGCAAGCUACUUUUAAAGGAUAGUUUUUUAGAGGGGCAAAAGGGGGACAACCAUUCUCCAUUUGAUGAGAAAAGCUUCCAUGUAGAUGGUGCCCCUGAAAUUAGAGUAUCCUAAACCAGUGUUAAACCUAUCAGUGAAACAUGAAUAUUAAACCUCCACUCCCAGUAGUGAAAACCGAAUACAUUAUUAUUUAUCUGUGACUUUCAACAUUAUCUCAGAACUCUAACAGCACAUGCGUACAUCAGCAGCAUAAGCAGAAAUGAGAUAUUAUAUAUGCUUGUGUUAGCAAUUAAAAAGGACAGCAUAUUUGAGAGGGGAAAAUCUGUCCUAUCAAGAAUGAAAAAGAGGGAGGUUAGGAAAAGUAGUUUAGAGAAAGUAAAUUUUGCAAUUCCUCAGUUUUAACUGUAGUUUCUCCAUUGUACCUUCCACUUGAAAUGCACUCCAAGCAGUGGAGGUGGGUAGCAAUGAAUGCAGAGGAAACACUGAACACAGUGACACUCUCCAGUGUCACUUCUCAUGAUUUAAUGAGGGGUUUUUUUUGGAAAUUCUUCUGUCAUAACAUGGGAAACUUUGUUACAAAGAAGCUGUUUUUUCAGAGGGUUAGAAUUCAGAGGUAGCAUCAUACCUUUUAGAAGAGAAUUUGCUUGUUGAAACCACAGAUACCUGCUAGAAUGUACAGGAAUUAAUGAAAAAUUACUCAAAAGGACAUUUAUUUUGAUGACCUAAAUGAAUAACUUCAUAGUAAAUGUCAUAUAUAUUCUCAAAAAAUUAAAAAGCACCAUUUAUUGAGAGCCUACCGUGCACCCGGAUUUUUAUAUAUCUGACAUUCUUUAUUCCUCACAGUAACCUUAUGGGGUAAAUUUUAUUUUCCCCACUUUGUGAGGUGAGGAAAUAAAGGCUCAGAAAGUUUACAUAACUUAUUCAAGCCCACAGAGCUGGUAAAUGAGAGGUCAGUUCUAUCUGAGUUUAAAGACUAGGCUUGUCCCACUUGCAUAUGUGUCAUUUCCAAAAUUAUGAUUAAGGAUAUGGUUGGCAUUUCCCGCCACCCACAUUAAGUCCAAUUAAGUAGCUGUGGCCAUAGAAAGAAUGGAGAAUGGAGAGAGGAACUGACUUCAACAGCUACAGCAAACAUUUAUUAGCUGAGUAACCAUAGCUACAUAGUUCCUCAAUAUGUACCACUCCUCCAUUUUGUUAUCUAUAAAUCAAAAUGGUGGCUUUUUAAAAAGCAGUUUUACAAUAUAUUCAAGAGCCUUCUACCCUUUGAAAAACUGCAAUACUAUUUUUAGUAGCAAUUAGAAACACCUUAAAUAUCUGACAACAGGGACAUCAUUAAGUAAAUUAUAACUUUUUCCAGUGGGAUGUGUUACAGCUGUUAAAAGUAGCAUUUAUGAAGUGUUUUUGGAGAAGUUUGGAAAAUGCUGUAAUAAGUUAGAAAAAGCUCAUUUCAAAAUUGCAUAAUAUUCACAAUGUAAAGAUUAAGCAAAGAAAAAGGAAGAAGUAUUUCAAAAUGUUAAUAAUUAUUGCUUUGUGUGGGGUAGUUUUUCAUUUUCUAUGUGCAGCUAAUUCCUUAAUUAUUUUUAAAUAUGUGAGCUUUAAUCAGGAAAGCAAAUCAUUCAAAAAUGAGGGGACUGAAUUAAGUGACUUUCAGGGGACUUUGCGUGUCUUUGAGUUCCAAAUUUCUAUCACUAUGUAUUACUACUGAAGAAUAAUCAUAGAAGCACAGUAGUUUCUGAAAAUGGAGAGUCAGUAAUCUUGGCCCAGGUUUUGCAACUUGCUCUAAAGCAGAGUCCUCAAAGAAAAGGAAGCAUUGAUGAGUUGUCCACAAUGUACUGGAUAAAUUAUCAUUAGGAAAACAUAUUGUAGUAGGGAGAGUGAGGACCUCUCAAACAGAACUGAGAACCUUAAGUUUGAACUUUUCUUUUCCUUAUUACUUAAGCACUCUGAGCUUUUUUUUUUGUCUGCAUUAUGAAGAAAGAAUAAUACUCUCUAUCCCAUGGGACAGCUGUGGAAUUAUAAAUUACACAUAUAAAACUGCUUGAUGCUUGUCACAUAGCUGGGGGUUGAAAAAAUGAUAGCCAUUAUUUUCUUGGCAACUUUUAAUGAAUUUUUUAUUAUCUCUAUUUCUUUCUGCCUAUCUCCUCUAAUUAUGUUUAUUACUUAUUUUGUUCCUCAGGAUGAGGUCAAUUCUCAAUAUCUGUGCUGUACAUAAUAUACAUAUAUACCAAAUAUGUGCAUAUAGUAUGUACAUACAUACAUACUGUGCUAAUCUUUUAGUGUUCUCAGCUGAUCAAAUAGCUACAAAUAGAUAUAAGUAAUUCGCCACAAGUAAUUUAUCAACAUAAAAAAAAUUUACAAAAAAGUUAAGGAAUAAUUGUCUCCAUGAGCUGCAAAGAUCCCUCAUUUCACAAGAGUACACCCUAGAGAUAUUUUAAUAGUAAAUUUCUCACAUAGAUUUAAAAUCACAUUUGUUUUGCACAUAAUUUAGAAAAGAUACCUGCUAUAUAAUAAGUAAUAUACUUUUAAGUUUCCUUCAAAAUAUUCUUGGGAAGAUGAUAAUAGGUACUGCUAAUUCUAUACCCAGUUAACAUUUUGGAAACUAAGGUUGAAAAUUGUGACUUAACUAUAAUUAUGCAUUAAAUCUACAACACAUCAAAGAAUUUUGCAUUUUGUACUCCUUACUAAGAUCCAGUUUGAGUAGGAAGAUAAAUUUUACAGUAAUUCUGAAUGAGGGAAGUUGGCACAGAGUUUCUAAAAGAGUACCUUCCUUAUAGCAAAUACUAAAUAAUUGUGCUAUAUUGAAUUUAAUUAAAUAGAGAAUAGUAAAAGGGAGAAAGAAACAUCCAAUGUUUUGAAACUUCUAGAGAUCUACUCCCAGGGACACAUUGUUUUUUCUUAGCAAAUCUGUUUGGAGGUCUGCUCUACUUUCUCAGAGGUCUCCCUUUCAUGCUGAAGCUAUCUUUUUUCCUUGUGGAACAUAAGUAAUUAAAUACCUUGCAAUUAUUUACCUAAGAAAGUGUUUCUUUCCCGUUUAAAAUGCUCUUACCACCCACAUUGGACUCGAUUAUCAGAAUUUUUAUCCGGGGCAGCUUCAGGAGCACUUUGGCACUUCGGGGCUAAACCACAAUCUGUUUUUACAUGUUUGUGAUUAUACCCGUUUUGUAGAUCAAGACAUUGAAGCUAGUAAAAAAAAAAAAAAGUCAUUUUUUCAGGGUAACAAAGUAGGUGGUAGAACUAGGACAGGGACUCUAAUUUCCUUACAUUAUUGCUUUUCUAAAUUAAAGGGAUGCAUGGAAUUAUUCCUCCAUUGCCUUUGCCUUCAAAUAAUUAUCUAUUGCACCCAACAUCCUAUUCUAGAACUCAUCUAUGAAGGCUUAACACAGCUGUACCUGGGAGCUCCAUUACAGGGCAUAUAUCUCGCUCUCAUAAGCUACUUCCUAAGGAAUUCUCUUUAAUUAUGGGAGCUUUUCCAGACUCUGAAAUCUUUUUUUCCUGGUAACACAAGUGUGAGGUGUCAUUUAUCAGAAUGCAUCACCCCAGUCUUCCCUCCUCAAAUGAUUACUGUAGGCUCCACUCAAGAGCUCAUCCCAGUUCAAGACCACCUUCCUCCUCCAGAGAAGCAAAUAUAUAUAUACACGUAUAUAUAUAUAUACACGUAUAUAUAUAUAUACACGUAUAUAUAUAUAUACACGUAUAUAUAUAUAUACACGUAUAUAUAUAUAUACACGUAUAUAUAUACACGUAUAUAUAUAUAUACACGUAUAUAUAUAUACACGUAUAUAUAUAUAUACACGUAUAUAUAUAUACACGUAUAUAUAUAUAUACACGUAUAUAUAUAUACGUGUAUAUAUAUAUAUACAUUUUUUUUUUUUGAGACGGAGUCUCGCUCUGUUGCCCAGGCUGGAGUGCAGUGGCGCGAUCUCGGCUCACUGCAAGCUCCGCCCCCCGGGUUCACGCCAUUCUCCUUCCUCAGCCUCCGGAGUAGCUGGGACUACAGGUGCCCGCCACCUCGCCUGGCUAAUUUUUUGUAUCUUUAGUAGAGAUGGGGUUUCACCGUGUUACCUAGGAUGGUCUAGAUCUCCUGACCUCGUGAUCCGCCCGCCUCGGCCUCCCAAAGUGCUGGGAUUACAGGCGUGAGCCACCGCGCCUGGCAGAGAAGCAAAUAUAUUGAUGGUUGUUACCAAUACAUGCUCUUGACUAAGAAACCUUCUUUCUUAAUUAAUAUUGACAACUUUAAGCCGAGUGCCUGACAUAUAUUAGGUACUCAGUUACUCUUUUUCAACUAAAGUUAUGAAUGAUGAUUCUAAUAAAAGUAACUUAUUUGUCUACUA
Homo sapiens (human) is the source of this 12124-nucleotide long non-coding RNA. RefSeq lists it as uncharacterized. The record is from RefSeq and is a predicted model, not a curated record. The transcript has 2 exons. NCBI's taxonomy places the organism in Eukaryota, Metazoa, Chordata, Mammalia, Primates, Hominidae.